AGUAUUUUCAGAAGCAUAGACCUCCAGGGACUCUUAUUUACAUGUAGACAUACAUAAAAAUAAAUGCUGUUUUUUAAAGAUCUAUGACUACUUAACAAAACAAUAAAAAGGAAGCCCUGGAUGUGUGUGAGGUGAAUCUGCAAUGUGUGUGAGACGCGUAGAAUCCCCACAUAGUUUAGCAAAGGCAGAGCACGAUGUCAAGUAAUUUUAAUAUGGCCUAAGGAACUGUAAGAAGCGAACUGAAGAAGGAACUGAUUUUAGAUUAAAAAUGUCAUUUAGAAACAAAACAACAGAUGCCUAACAGACCUCCUGUGCUUAAGUUAUAACAGGAUAAAAAUCUGAAUGAGUGGAAGGACUUCUGUGCAUGGAUUCUGCAAAUUCCUUCUACAGUUUAAGCCCCUUAUUUAACAGAGGUCUAAUACUGAAUGCUUCACCCUUUGGGAAACCUCGUUGGUGAUCUCUUCUGAGGGCUGCAGAGACCAGGGAGCCGGUGCUGAGUUGUGCAGUGAAUGAAGACACGGGCAGCUGGUUAUGAAUGCUUGUGUAAUUCAGGGGAUAACUUGGAGCCAUGAAAAGCACAAAAAAUGGUUUGGCUGUCCCAACGGCUGGUGGCAGUAGGGCUGAGGUCCCACAGCCUGAGGCCCAGGAGCAUUUGGGAGGGUGGAGGUGACCUGCCCUAUUUGCGUUGUUUUCACGGUUUUGGAACUGUUACCCGCAUUUUAGCAGCUUCUAACUCUGUGUUGUGGAUUUGGAGAGGUUAACAACCCACCUUCGACCCCUGGCGACUGUUUCCCUUCCCUGUCGGCUCAGCUGUGAAGGGAGAGCAUCUGGGAACACGCGGUGUGAACCUGGCGCCGCUCGGCUUGGCUUGUUUAGCAAAGUGUCCUCUGUUUACACUGUAAAAUGUCAGCAUUUGUCAAAAAAUGUCGCCCGCUCUGAAGAACACGCCCCCGAGGCUCCGGUCAGUUUGGGGCCUUGCUUCCCGCCUGCAGCUGCAGCCGGACCCCUGGCUCACGGGGGCGUGAGUUUCCUCUGUGACUUAUUGAGUCUCUCGUUUGCACUGUCAGAGGCUGGGCGACUCGGGGCUUUGCUGUUGAUCCCCUUUAGCAAACCCAGCCGUUGAGG
This 1125-nucleotide long non-coding RNA is filed under the name Equus asinus (donkey). RNAcentral describes it as "lncRNA (ENSEASG00005032226.1)". Lineage: Eukaryota; Metazoa; Chordata; Mammalia; Perissodactyla; Equidae. The record is from RNAcentral.